RNAcentral lists this long non-coding RNA (2285 nucleotides) under Sus scrofa (pig). RNAcentral's name for it is "lncRNA (ENSSSCG00055025884.1)". The record is from RNAcentral. Lineage: Eukaryota; Metazoa; Chordata; Mammalia; Artiodactyla; Suidae.
CAGCCAUGGACAGCCUUCUUGGCAGUGGUGAUCUUUAAUUUGCAACUCCUGCCAUCUCAAUUUGCUUCUGCUAUUUGAAACAUGUUUCAAGGUAUUAAUGAAAGAGAUUAAGAUUGGCAAGGCCAUAGAGACUCCUGAUUGCAAAGGCAGGCAGCAAAAUGGCUGAUAACUUUAAAACGUCUGGCGGGUUAGUAGUGAAAACGUCACUGAUCAUCAGAGGUGUGUUUUUCCAUUUCUGGUAGUGCGCUAAAACCUCACCAAUUCUAGUAAGUCUUUAAUAAAAUUGGAAAAUUUCCCAAUGGUAAACUGCGGUAGUAAAUAUUAUAGUGGACAAAGGGAUAACAUAGACUACUUAGUUAAAUUAAGUAUGUUCAAUGAAAGCAAACAUGUCACAGCCGGGCUAGGGUACAUGUAUUUUCUAAACUUUAAAAUAUAAAGUUAUUGGUUUUUAAUGAUUUUUAUUUUUUUCCAUUGUAGCAUUUACAGUGUCCUGUCAUUUUCUACUAUACAGCAAGGUGACCUAGUCACACAUUCAUAUAAACAUUCUUUUUUCUCACAUUAUCAUGUUCCAUCAUAAGUGACUAGAUGUAGUUCCCAGUGCUAUACAGCAGGAUCUCCUUGCUUAUCCACUCCAAAGGCAAUAGUUUGCAUCUCUUAACCCCAGACUCCCAAUCCAUCCCACUCCCUCCCCUUUGGCAACCACAGGUCAGUUCUCCAAGUCCAUGAGUUUCUUUCCUGUGGAAAAGUUCAUUUGUGCUCUAUAUUAGAUUCCAGAUAUAAGUGAUAUCAUAUGGUAUUUGUCUUUCUCUUUAUGACUUACUUCACUCAGUAUGAGUCUCUAGUUCCAUCCAUGUUGCUGCAAAUGGCACGAUUUUGUUCUUUUUUAUGGCUGAGUAGGAUUCCAUUGUGUAUAUAUACCACAUCUUCCUAAUCCAUUCAUCUGUCAAUGGACAUUGAGGUUGUUUCCAUGUCUUGGCUAUUGUGAUAAUGCUGCAGUGAACAUAUGGGUGCGUGUGUCUAUUUCAAAGAAAGUUUUGUCUGGAUAUAUGCCCAAGAAUUGGAUUGCUGGGUCAUAUGAUAGUUCUAUGUAUAGUUUUCUAAGGUACCGCCAUACUGGUUUCCACAGUGGUUGUACCAAUUUACAUUCCCACCAACAGUGCAGGAGGGUUCCCUCUUCUCCACACCCUCUCCAGCAUUUGUUAUUUGUGGACUUAUUAAUGAUGGCCAUUCUGACUGGUGUGAGGUAGUACCUCAGAGUAGUUUUGAUUUGCAUUUCUCUAAUAAUCAGUGAUGCUGAGCAUUUUUUCAUGUGCUUGUUGUCCAUCUGUGUAUCUUCUUUGGAGGAAUGUCUAUUCAGGUCUUUUGCCCAUUUUUCAAUUGGGCUGUUGGCGUUUUUGCUAUUGAGGUCUUUAAGUUGUUUGUAUAUUUUAGAGAUUAAGUUCUUGUCAGUUGCAUCAUUCAAAAUUACUUUCUCCCAUUCCAAAGGUUGUCUUUUUGGUUUUUUUUUAAUAGUUUCCUUUGCUAUGCAAAAGUUUGUCAGUUUGAUUAGGUCCUCUUGGUUUAUUUUUGCUUUUAUUUUCUGUUGCUGUGGGAGACUGACCUGGGCAAACAUGUGUAAGGUGGAUUUAUGGUGUGAGCCAAGAAUAAAAGAUGCUCUUUGUUUUAGAAAAUCUGUUAAUAUAUUGUAUUAUCUCAGUAGGUCAGUAAGAAAAAAGUCAAUAAAAUUAAACCCUUAUUCCUGAAGGGCGUCGGGGGGACUCUUAGAAAACCUGGCGUGCAGAAGAACUUUUAAAACUUAAAGACAGCUGUCUUAAACUAGUCAUUGAGUGAGGGCACCUUCUCUUCAUUCAUUAAAUAAUGUUCUGGAAGCUUCGAUCCUAGCAAUAAGACAUAGAACCGAAAACUGAUAUGCUGGUGAGAAACACAAAGAUUAAAAAAUUUCUCAUUUGUACAUGAUAGGUAUGUUUAUGAAUAUAAUCAUGAAAAAGCAAGACAGUCUUGAGAAAACAACAAAAAAAUCUCUAAGAAUUUAAGGAGUGUAUAAUAACAAAUGUUAAUAUUAAAAAUUUAAAAUAAAUGUACGGAGUUCCUGUUGUGGCUCAAUGGGUUAAUAGCCACAAGGAGGCGGAUUUGAUCCCUGGCCUCGCUCAAUGGGCUGAGGAUCCAGCCUUGCCAUGAGCUGUGGUGUAGGUUGCAGAUGUGGCUCGGAUCUGGUGUUGCUGUGGUUGUGGCGUAGGCUGGCAGCUGCAGCUCCAAUUAGACCCCUCACCUGGGAACUUCCAUAU